GAGUUCAAUGGAAAAUCUUUGAUAAUAUUAUGUCCUUGUACAUAAUAUUAUCAAAGAUUUUCCAUUGAACUC
Paramuricea clavata is the source of this 72-nucleotide non-coding RNA. Lineage: Eukaryota; Metazoa; Cnidaria; Anthozoa; Malacalcyonacea; Plexauridae. The record is from the annotation of a GenBank genome assembly.